AAGAGGAGUCAAUGAUGGUUAUAACCCACAAUGUCUGAACCUAUCUGAAGCAUCUUUGUGAUGUAGUCAUUCUGUCAUUCUGAGACUUCUUUAAGA
Molecule: small nucleolar RNA, 96 nt
Organism: Cavia porcellus (domestic guinea pig)
Lineage: Eukaryota; Metazoa; Chordata; Mammalia; Rodentia; Caviidae
Product: small nucleolar RNA SNORD91 family
Source: Ensembl